CUGCCUACGGGAGGCAGCAGUGGGGAAUAUUGCACAAUGGGGAAACCCUGAUGCAGCGACGCCGCGUGAAGGAAGAAGUAUCUCGGUAUGUAAACUUCUAUCAGCAGGGAAGAAGAUGACGGUACCUGACUAAGAAGCCCCGGCUAACUACGUGCCAGCAGCCGCGGUAAUACGUAGGGGGCAAGCGUUAUCCGGAUUUACUGGGUGUAAAGGGAGCGUAGACGGCAGGGCAAGUCUGGAGUGAAAGCCCGGGGCCCAACCCCGGGACUGCUUUGGAAACUGCCAUGCUGGAGUGCUGGAGAGGG
Molecule: ribosomal RNA, 305 nt
Filed under: uncultured bacterium
Lineage: Bacteria
Description: bacterial SSU rRNA
Rfam family: Bacterial small subunit ribosomal RNA
Source: RNAcentral